RNAcentral lists this ribosomal RNA (346 nucleotides) under uncultured Sphingobacteriales bacterium. RNAcentral's name for it is "bacterial SSU rRNA". It matches the Rfam family "Bacterial small subunit ribosomal RNA", at positions 1036 to 1382 of the family's 1533-position model. Lineage: Bacteria; Pseudomonadati; Bacteroidota; Sphingobacteriia; Sphingobacteriales. The record is from RNAcentral.
AGGUGCUGCAUGGUUGUCGUCAGCUCGUGCCGUGAGGUGUCGGGUUAAGUCCCAUAACGAGCGCAACCCCUACCUUAGUUGCCAUCAGGUUAAGCUGGGGACUCUAAAGGAACUGCCUACGCAAGUAGUGAGGAAGGCGGGGAUGACGUCAAAUCAGCACGGCCCUUACGUCCAGGGCUACACACGUGCUACAAUGGCCGAUACAGAGGGCAGCUACCUGGUGACAGGAUGCAAAUCUCCAAAGUCGGUCUCAGUUCGGAUCGGAGUCUGCAACCCGACUCCGUGAAGUUGGAUUCGCUAGUAAUCGCGCAUCAGCCAUGGCGCGGUGAAUACGUUCCCGGGCCUU